RNAcentral lists this small nuclear RNA (103 nucleotides) under Procavia capensis (Cape rock hyrax). The record is from RNAcentral. Lineage: Eukaryota; Metazoa; Chordata; Mammalia; Hyracoidea; Procaviidae.
GUGCUUCAGCAGCACGUGUACUAAAAUUGGAGCAAUACACAGAAAAUCAGCAUGGUCCCUAUGCAAGGAUGAUAGGAUGAUUCAUGAAGUGUUCCACAGUUUU